Molecule: non-coding RNA, 1119 nt
Organism: Arachis ipaensis
Lineage: Eukaryota; Viridiplantae; Streptophyta; Magnoliopsida; Fabales; Fabaceae
Source: RefSeq, a predicted model, not a curated record
GCUAUGCAAGCUAGAACGUAUUUUUCCUCCUGGAUUUUUUGACUCAAUGGAACAUCUACCUAUUCAUUUGCCAUUCGAAGCAUUGCUCGGUGGUCCUGUGCAAUAUAGAUGGAUGUAUCCUUUUGAGAGAUUUCUCCAUCAUCUUAAGAAAAAGGUCAAGAACAAAGCACAUGUUGAAGGAUCUAUCGUUGAAUCAUACCUAAUUGAGGAGAUUUCUCACUUUUAUGACAAAGAAUUCAGUGCAGCCAUGAAUCAUAUACUAAUAAACUGUGAUGAAAUUAAGUCAUAUAUUGAGUGAGUAUUUAUCUUCCUAUAUAUAUUCUUACUAUUAAUAAUAUUUUCUGAUAUUAAUAAUUUUAAUUUAUUUGAAAUUUAUGUACUAUAGGAUCUUUGUGGACUUCAUACUCCAAGAUCAUAUUACUUUAAGUGAUGAACAAGUUGAUCAAUUUAUUGAAGCGGAUUUUGCAGAAUGGUUUAAAAAUUAUGUUCAUGAUCCUUUAAAUAAUGUGACAGAUUCGAAUAUUCAUUCUUUGGCAUGGGGUCCUUUGAGAAUUGUUAAAUGUUGGCCUAUCUACAAAGUCAAUGGCUUCAAGUUUCACACAAGAUCUCACUCGAGUGGAAAGUCAACUUAGAAUUAUGGAAUAUGUGUCAAAGGCACAGGUUAUGGUGAAUAUGAAAAUGAUUUCUAUGGCCAGUUUGAUGAAAUUAUUCAAGUUGAGUAUACUGGGCUACCACUAAAAAGAGUUGUACUAUUUAAAUGUGAAUGGUUUGAUCCCACGAUCGGCAAAGGAACAAAAGUAAACAAAGAGUAUGGAAUCAUACAGAUUCGAAAGAAUCGACGAUAUGUUAAAUAUGAUCCGUUUAUCAUUGCACAUAAAGCAAUUCAAGUAUAUUUUGCACCUCAUCCAAUGAGCAACACUAGAGAAAAAGCAGAAUGGUGGUUUGUAUUCAAGACUAAAGCAAGAGGUGAGAUUGAGAUUGAAACAACGGAGGAUUUUGCAUAUCAAGAAGAUGGCACAAAUCAAUCUAACAAUCAUAUCUCAAAUGAUAUUGACAUUAUUGUUGAUUUACUGGAUACCAAUAGUACAAGAUAUGAAGAAGAAGAAGAAGAAGAAGAAG